GAACAACAAUCAAACAUUCAAACCCAUAAUUUAUCACAUAAAUUCAUCGCAAAAGGGACUUGUUAUUUGUUACUCUCCGAUGGACAACAAUUUAUUCUCCAUUUCACACUUUCAAUUUUUGGAUUUGAAGGUUGGAAGAACAUUCAAAUAAGAAAAUGGAUUUUCGGGUUCUUCUCUUUCACAACAAGAUUUGUGUAUUCUGAUUACUUACUCGAUCUCGCUAUAAAAUUCCGGGCUUUGACAUCAUCAUCUCCUUCCUCAACCACCAGCUGCAUCGUUACUUCCGGCACUGAUAUCCAGCAACCACCAGCAGAUCCGUGUUUGAAUAUUGGGUUUUAAGGUGAGAUGAGUUGGGGAUGAUUUUUGUUUCCCAAGUUUGGAUGAAGUUUACAAAAUAGGCAUGAUUUUCAUUUCCCAUACGGGAUGUGUUAGAUUUUGUAAAUUUUUGUUAGAUUUGGAUGAUUUUUUCUCUUGUUU
This 477-nucleotide long non-coding RNA is filed under the name Trifolium pratense (red clover). Its description in RNAcentral is "long non-coding RNA (TPRA_LNC013993)". Lineage: Eukaryota; Viridiplantae; Streptophyta; Magnoliopsida; Fabales; Fabaceae. The record is from RNAcentral.